This 760-nucleotide long non-coding RNA is filed under the name Prunus persica (peach). RNAcentral's name for it is "long non-coding RNA (PPER_LNC006936)". Lineage: Eukaryota; Viridiplantae; Streptophyta; Magnoliopsida; Rosales; Rosaceae. The record is from RNAcentral.
UUUUGGGGAUUUUUGUUCGAUCUCCAGCUUUUGCCCAAUUUGGGAGCGAUUUCUUGUAAUUUUUUUUGAAUUGUUGAAACCCUAAACUACCCUUCAACUCACAUGCGUGGAAUGGUUAAUCGGCUGGUGGGGUGGGUCCCACGGGUGCCACAUUAGCAUUUAACGAUUGACCGUCUGGUUAACUUAACGGAAGAAUGAAAUUGGACAAUGUUGAACACGUAAGGGCGUCAAUUGAUAAAAUUGAUACCAUAGGGCCCAAUUUGAGAAUGACACUAAACCAGCAAGGUGUCUUUUGUCAUUAGCCCCAAAAAAAAAAAAAUAACUCAAUUAUUAAUAAUAAAAGAAAAAUAACCAUAAAAAUACAGGGGAAAAAAAUUAAUAGGUAAUUAAAAAACCAGCAACACGGUCUUCUCCACACCCCUCCACCAUCGCCACUAAUCUCCUCCCUCACCCCACCCCUACCCUUCAUUCCUAGCCAACCGUUUUUUUUUUUCAAUCCAGUUUGUAUAAAAUCAUAUCUAUAAAAUGUGGUCUCUUUGUAAUAAGGAAUUGCCUUAAAAUAUUGCCCAUGAUUGUUGUGAUUUUGAUGAUGGUGAGGAGGAUACUAGUGUAACAGGCUCGGCUAAGAGGAGGGAUUGUCUUUUAAAAAACUUAAUUUAACUAUGAAAAAUCAAAAUAAUACUUUAAAAUCAAAAAAUCCCCAAUUCCCCUCCUCCAACCCCAUUAUCCCUUUCCAGUCGAGCAAGAGAAGGAGAUCUGG